AUUAAACGCUGGCGGCAUGCUUUACACAUGCAAGUCGAACGGCAGCGGGGAGGAGCUUGCUUCUCUGCCGGCGAGUGGCGCACGGGUGAGUAAUACAUCGGAACGUGUCGAGAAGAGGGGGAUAACCACCCGAAAGGGUGGCUAAUACCGCAUAAAUUCUGAGGAAGAAAGCUGGGGACCUAGGAAUAGGCCUAGCGCUUUUUGAGCGGCCGAUGUCGGAUUAGCUAGUUGGUGGGGUAAAGGCUCACCAAGGCGAAGAUCUGUAGCGGGUCUGAGAGGAUGAUCCGCCACACUGGGACUGAGACACGGCCCAGACUCCUACGGGAGGCAGCAGUGGGGAAUUUUGGACAAUGGGGGCAACCCUGAUCCAGCCAUGCCGCGUGUAUGAAGAAGGCCUUAGGGUUGUAAAGUACUUUUGUUAGGGAAGAAAAGUCAGCUGUGAAUAAUGGCUGAUACUGACGGUACCUAAAGAAUAAGCACCGGCUAACUACGUG
This 494-nucleotide ribosomal RNA is filed under the name uncultured bacterium. RNAcentral's name for it is "partial 16S ribosomal RNA". It matches the Rfam family "Bacterial small subunit ribosomal RNA", at positions 30 to 507 of the family's 1533-position model. The record is from RNAcentral.